GACGAACGCUGGCGGCGUGCUUAACACAUGCAAGUCGAACGGAAAGGCCCUGCUUGCAGGGUACUCGAGUGGCGAACGGGUGAGUAACACGUGGGUGAUCUGCCCUGCACUCCGGGAUAAGCCUGGGAAACUGGGUCUAAUACCGGAUAGGAGCCAUUUUUAGUGUGAUGGUUGGAAAGUUUUUUCGGUGUAGGAUGAGCUCGCGGCCUAUCAGCUUGUUGGUGGGGUAAUGGCCUACCAAGGCGGCGACGGGUAGCCGGCCUGAGAGGGUGGACGGCCACAUUGGGACUGAGAUACGGCCCAGACUCCUACGGGAGGCAGCAGUGGGGAAUAUUGCACAAUGGGCGCAAGCCUGAUGCAGCGACGCCGCGUGGGGGAUGACGGCCUUCGGGUUGUAAACUCCUUUCGCUAGGGACGAAGCUUUUUGUGACGGUACCUAGUUAAGAAGCACCGGCUAACUACGUG
RNAcentral lists this ribosomal RNA (465 nucleotides) under uncultured bacterium. Its description in RNAcentral is "partial 16S ribosomal RNA". It matches the Rfam family "Bacterial small subunit ribosomal RNA", at positions 28 to 507 of the family's 1533-position model. The record is from RNAcentral.